CCUACGGGAGGCUGCAGUGGGGAAUAUUGCACAAUGGGGGAAACCCUGAUGCAGCGACGCCGCGUGAGUGAAGAAGUAUUUCGGUAUGUAAAGCACUAUCAGCAGGGAAGAAAAUGACGGUACCUGUUUAAGAAGCCCCGGCUAACUACGUGCCAGCAGCCGCGGUAAUACGUAGGGGGCAAGCGUUAUCCGGAUUUACUGGGUGUAAAGGGAGCGUAGACGGCAGCACAAGUCUGGAGUGAAAUGCCCGGGCUUAACCCCGGAACUGCUUUGGAAACUGUGCAGCUAGAGUGCAGGAGAGGUAAGUGGAAUUCCUAGUGUAGCGGUGAAAUGCGUAGAUAUUAGGAGGAACACCAGUGGCGAAGGCGGCUUACUGGACUGUAACUGACGUUGAGGCUCGAAAGCGUGGGGAGCAAACAGGAUUAGAUACCCCUGUAGUC
RNAcentral lists this ribosomal RNA (440 nucleotides) under uncultured bacterium. Its description in RNAcentral is "partial 16S ribosomal RNA". It matches the Rfam family "Bacterial small subunit ribosomal RNA", at positions 338 to 795 of the family's 1533-position model. The record is from RNAcentral.